RNAcentral lists this ribosomal RNA (484 nucleotides) under uncultured bacterium. RNAcentral's name for it is "partial 16S ribosomal RNA". It matches the Rfam family "Bacterial small subunit ribosomal RNA", at positions 28 to 507 of the family's 1533-position model. The record is from RNAcentral.
GAUGAACGCUGGCGGCGUGCCUAAUACAUGCAAGUCGAGCGGACGGACGAGGAGCUUUCUUCGCUGAUGUUAGCGGCGGGCGGGUGAGUAACACGUGGCUAACCGACCUAUAAGACUGGGGUAACUUCGGGAAACCUGAUCUAGUACCGGUUAAGAUUUUGAACGUCGGGGUUCAUAGGUCAAAACGGUCUUAGCUGAGCCUAGGACGGAUUAGCUAGUUGGUUGGGUAAAGGCCUACCAAGGCGACGAUCCAUAGCAGAUCUGAGAGGCUGAUCAGCCACACUGGAACUGAGACACGGUCCAGACUCCUACGGGAGGCAGCAGUAGGGAAUCUUGCGCAAUGGGCGAAAGCCUGAUCGAGCCAUGCCGCGUGAGUGAUGAAGGUCUUCGGAUUGUAAAACUCUGUUAGUAGGGAAGAACAUAUGUGUAAGUAACUGUGGCCAUCUUGACGGUACCUAAUCAGAAAGCAACGGCUAACUACGUG